Long non-coding RNA from Etheostoma cragini (Arkansas darter), 264 nucleotides. RefSeq lists it as uncharacterized. NCBI's taxonomy places the organism in Eukaryota, Metazoa, Chordata, Actinopteri, Perciformes, Percidae. The transcript is spliced from 2 exons. The record is from RefSeq and is a predicted model, not a curated record.
CGACUGUCAGCAGUGGGCAGCAACAAAAAGGGCAGAGGAAUGUGUGGUUGCCUUUUGGAAGGACUACCCGCUGGAUGUUGAGGAGCAAGAGGGACCCUUAAAACUUGUGGGUAUCCUGGCCUAGGCGACAAGAGCAAAUGCAAUUCCACCCCUGGGCUUCUCCCCAGGACCUUCAGACGAUUUUCUCCAUGAGCUGCCCCUCAGACAAGGCCGUCAUUUAACCACUGCAAACACAUGCAUUUACUGCCUGCAAUUGCAAGUCCU